Molecule: ribosomal RNA, 403 nt
Filed under: uncultured bacterium
Lineage: Bacteria
Description: partial 16S ribosomal RNA
Rfam family: Bacterial small subunit ribosomal RNA
Source: RNAcentral
GACGAACGCUGGCGGCGUGCCUAAUACAUGCAAGUCGAACGCAGUGGGGAUGGGUGAUUAACACGUGGGUAACCUCCCAUCAGAGGGGAUAACACUUGGAAACAGCUGCUAAACCGAUACUGAUGGAUGGACUCGCGGUGCAUUAGCUAGUUGGUGGGGGAACGGCUCACCAAGGCGACGAUGCAUAGCGGGCCUGAGAGGAGGACCGGCCACACUGGGACUGAGACACGGCCCAGACUCCUACGGGAGGCAGCAGUGGGGAAUCUUCGGCAAUGGACGAAAGUCUGAUGGAGCAAUGCCGCGUGAGUGAAGAAGGUUUUCGGAUCGUAAAACUCUUUUAUUAGGGAAGCGGUAUCUAACCAGAAAGCAACGGCUAACUACGUGCCAGCAGCCGCGGUAAUAC